RNAcentral lists this ribosomal RNA (458 nucleotides) under uncultured bacterium. RNAcentral's name for it is "partial 16S ribosomal RNA". It matches the Rfam family "Bacterial small subunit ribosomal RNA", at positions 338 to 795 of the family's 1533-position model. The record is from RNAcentral.
CCUACGGGUGGCAGCAGUGGGGAAUAUUGCACAAUGGGGGAAACCCUGAUGCAGCGACGCCGCGUGAGUGAAGAAGUAAUUCGUUAUGUAAAGCCCUAUCAGCAGGGAAGAAACACUGACCUUACGGUCAGCAGACGGUACCUGAGUAAGAAGCCCCGGCUAACUACGUGCCAGCAGCCGCGGUAAUACGCAGGGGGCAAGCGUUAUCCGGAUUUACUGGGUGUAAAGGGAGCGUAGACGGUGCGCCAAGUCUGGGGUGAAAUGCCGCAGCUUAACUGCGGAACUGCUUUUGAAACUGGCGGACUUGAGUGCGGGAGUGGUAAGCGGAAUGCGUGGUGUAGCGGUGAAAUGCGUAGAUAUUAGGAGGAACACCGAUGGCGAAGGCAGCUUACUAGACCGUAACUGACGUUGAGGCUCGAAAGCGUGGGGAGCAAACAGGAUUAGAUACCCCAGUAGUC